This 257-nucleotide long non-coding RNA is filed under the name Lathyrus oleraceus (garden pea). RNAcentral describes it as "Pisum sativum (pea) long non-coding RNA (PSAT_LNC013458)". Lineage: Eukaryota; Viridiplantae; Streptophyta; Magnoliopsida; Fabales; Fabaceae. The record is from RNAcentral.
AUGGACAAGCAAGAUGCUUUGAAUGAAAACAUCCAGAAUAUGUUUGCCAUGUUGCUUCAGAGACUUCCUCAACCUCCAAACCCUUAGGCACUUAGGAUUUAUUUUGUUUGCUUGCCUAGUGUUUUUUGCUUCUGUCUUCUUUAGCUCUGAUAUUCUCUUGGAUCUGAUGUUUUGAUUGCCUUUGUGCCUUUGUGCUUUUGAUUAAUGAAAUGUUUUUCUCUUUAUUGUCUUGUUAUUUUUUUAUAUCUACCUUUUUG